GAGGGAGGAAGGAGUAAGCAAGCCAGCCAGCCUAAGUCAUGCACAGUGGCACAGAGUCAGGAAGCAGAGGCAGACAGAUCUUUGAGUUCAAGGCCAGCCUGGUUUACAUAGUAGUGAGUUGCAAGACAGCCAGGAACACACAGUGAGAUCUUGUCUCAAAACAAACAAAAACCAUCUUAAUCUAUCAUCUUUCAUAAAAGAACCAGGGAACAGUGAGAUGGUCUGAUACCCACAUGCGCACACACACACACACACACACACACACACACACACACACACACACACACACAAAAGUGUAAAAAGUUUGUAAAGAACUAAGAUAACUUUGGUUUCCCCAACUGGAACCCAAUACUCAAAUCCUGCUGAAGCAAAACCAAAUAUUUACAUUUAAAAAUGAAUGCAUGCUGCCAGGCACAGUGGCAGCCUCCUUUAAUCCCAGCUAGAGAGCAGAACUCUUAGGAAUUUGAACCCAACCUGGUCUGCAUAGUGAGUACUAGGCCAGAAAGGGGUACACAAUGAUAACCCUUUGUGGAGGUGUGUGUGCCAAAUGGGAGACCAAGGCAGGAGGAUCACUGAGACUACAGCAUGGGCUACAUGUCAUUUCUAGGCCAAUCUGGACUGUGAAGUAAACCUAGACUCAAAAAAUAAAAUAGAAAACUUAAAAACCUACAACAGCAGACAUAAUGUCACAAAGUACCUACCUGGGUUCUUGCUGUAAGCCCAAACCAAGAGAGCACCAUGCAAGGCUUUCCCCAACUCUGCCUAACACUGCUUCUAAAGUGUCAGGCAAUUGGGGUUGGAGGUUUAGCUCAGUGGUAGAGCGCUUGCCUAGCAAGUGCAAGGCCCUGGGUUUGGUCCCCAGCUCCGAAAAAAAGAAAAAAAAGAAGAAAGUGUCAGGCUGAGAAGGAGUCCUCAGCAAGGGGAGGGUCCAUGAGCACCAGCACCAGUAUGCUCACCUAACACAUCUUCUAAGAGCCAAAGCUGGCAUUAGCCAGGCAGGGAGCAGACCACACAGCCCCUCCUGUGAUAGGUGACUUAUUUUCAAGCCUUAGACUGGUGCACGGAGGUCAACGUGUGCAGGCUCUUCCUUCAGAUGUGGCAAGCAGGGAGAUCUAUGGUCACCAAGUCCCCAUUCCCACUUCACGCUCCAACCCACUUCCCUGUGAUUAUACUCCAUUUCCACCUCAGACAAAUUUAGUACAUCUUUAUAAACAUUUACUUUUCAUCUAUAUUCAAGUUAAAAAAAAAAAAAAGAAAAGCAGGUUUCCCUCUCCAAAGCAGUUAUUGUCCCACUAAAAUAAACAUUUGUGGUGUGGGUGUGGUGACACAGGGAUCUCUGAAACUAGAGUUUUUUUUUAAAUGAGUAUGGGUGUUUUGCCUGAAUGUCUGUGUAUCAAAUGUAUGUGGUGCCCACAAUGCUAAAAGACACCAGAAGAGGGGGUCAGACCUCUUAGGACUGGAGUUGUAUACAGUUCGUUGUUGAGCUGCUGUGUGGUUGCUGGGAACUGAACCUAGGUCCUCUAGAAGAGCAGUCACUGCUCUUAACUGCCAAGCCAUCUCUCCAGCCUGAGAAACCAGGGCCUUAUUAUGCACAGCACAAGAACUCUACCAACACGUUUUCCCCUAAACCAUUUCUGUAGGUAUGGGGGAGCUGUACACAUGCAGAAGUCAUUCACUCUAAGUCUUCCACCUUCUCUUGCUGUCAUUUGUUGUAUGUCUGCAUAUAUGCAGUGUACAGAGUCCAGAAAAGGGCAUCAGAAUAUUACUCCAUCACUUUGUUUUCUUCCUUUGAAGCAGAGUUUCAUUAAACCGAGAGCUUGGGCUGGCUCAGUGGUUAAGAGCACUGGCUGCUCUUCUAAAUCACAAGUUCAAUUCCCAGCACCUACAUGGUGGCUCACAACCAUCUAUAAUAGGGUCUGAUGCCCUCUUCUGGCAUGCAAGUAUACAUACAGACGUAACAUUCAUACAUAAAAUACAUUAAAAAACAAACAAAAACAAAACUAGAGAGCUCAUGGUUUUUCAAGCAGGCACUCAGCAGGCCCCAGUGACCCUCCAUAUGGGUACAGACUCAUCCUCUUCACAAGCACCGUUACUGACCACUGAGCCGGCUCUCUGGCCCCCUUGGUUUUUUUGAGACAGUCUCUCCCACUGGUGCCUAGGGCUUGCAUUUAUCAACUAGAGUGGCCAACUAAUGAGUUACAGAGAUCUAUCUACCUUCAUCUCCCAGCACUGGGAUUCAAACCUGUGUCAUUACAUGAGGAUACUUUUUUCUUUUCAAAGGUUUACUUAUUUUUUAUAUGGGCAGUAUAUAUGUAUGUCUGUAUGUAUACAUACCAUGUAUAUACUUGGUGCCUGAGAAGACCAGAAGAGGACAUCAGAGGCAGGUGUGGUGAUACAGACAGAUCUCUGAGUUCAAUGCCAGCCUGAUCUACAGACCAAGUUCCAGAAUAGCCAGGUUUACACAGAGAAACCAUAUUUUCAAAGAACCAAAACAAAACAAACCCAAAAAGGAAGGCAUCAGAUCUCCUAGAACUGAAGUUACAGAUGAUUGUGGGCUGCCAUGUGGGUUCUGGGUACUGAACUCAGAACUUGUGUAAGAAUAAUAAGAACCUUUAACUGUAGAGCCAUCUCUCCAGCCCUAUAGGAGAUUUUCUAUUGGGUAACAGAAAUCAGAUUCAAGUCUUUAUGCUUACACUUAUAGAGCCAUCUUUCCAGCUCCCUCCUUUCUUUAUUUCAAUAUUGAGAUGGGGUUUUACUAAGGUGUACAGACUAGCCUUAAACUUACUUUAUAGUUCAGACAGACCUUGAACUUAAAAUUCUUCUAUCUUUGCCUUUGAGGUAGAAGGACUAUAUGCCCAUGACACUAGGCAUGACUAAAAAUUAUUAAAAUUACUACUGAGACAGGGUCUAUCAUUAGAGCCCAGAAUGGUCUUGAUCUCAUGGUGAUCCUUCUGCCGGCCUUCCAAAUACUUGUAUUACAGGAGUAAGCUACUAUGCCUGACUUCAAAAGUUUCUCCUGACAGGGUUUCUCUGUGUAUCCCUGGCUGCCCUGGAACUGCUCUAUAGACCAGGCUUAAGAGAUCUGCCUGCCUUUACCUCUGGGAUUAAAGGCAAGUGCCACCCUACCCAGCUCCCAAAGUCAUUGGACUGGAGAGAGCUGUGAUUAUUGGUCCUCCAGAGGACGAGGCACAAUUCCCAGCACCCAUACAGCAGCUUAUAACUGUAACUACAGUUCUAGAGGAGUCAACUCCCUCUUCCUACCUCUAUGCGUCCCAGACUUGCAUGUGGUAUAUAUAUAUAUAGAUGUACAUUCAGGUAAAACAUUCAUUAAAGCGAAUAAUAAAAAUAAAUAAAUAAAGCAAACACCAAAUCGGUUGUGGUUGUGCACAUGUACAGGGACAAUCCUGGCACUUAGGUGGCUGAAGAAAUAAGACCAAGAGUUAGAUGUCAACCUAAACUACAACACGAGCUGGGGACUGCGUAGGCUGUACAGUGACAGUCUGUCUCAAAAACACAAACAGUGCUGGCAAAGGGCCACACCAACAAGUCAACAAAGCUGGAGCGCUAAAACCCAUGGCAGCAGCAGUUGUCCUCUGACUGCGACACACUCUCGUGACAUGUAUGCACAUGCACACACACACAUGCAUGGUACAUCCACACACAGCAAAAAUACAGCAAAUUCUACUCUUGCUUAACAGGCUUUGAUGGCUUUGCUGUUCAGAGGGAGUGGAAUAUUCUUCAGGAAUCUAAAUGUCUGAAAGAUGUUUUACAAAGCUAAGGAGAACCUGAACUGGACUCUGAGAUAAGCAUGAAGGUAAAGUAACAGAAUCCUAAACAAGGACAAAGGUCGAGGGACUCAGCUAGCAAGAGGAACUGGGAAGCAAAAUGCAUAGGGAAUGCUGAGCAAGCAUUAGUUAGUUAGUAGGUGCUAAGGAUAAAACCUGAGGCAGCAGGCUGGGGCUGCUGGGCAGCGGCUCUUUGGAUGCCACAUUAGGACCGCAGAUCUCAUCCUAUAAUCCUAUGUUUCUUUCUCUUGUCCUUUUUCUUGAGACAGGGCUUCUCUGAAUAGCCCUGGCUGGUGUCAUGGAAUUCAAUUUGUAGAUCAUGGUGCUCUCAAACUCAGAGAUCUGCCUGCCUCUGCAGCCUGUACCUGUGUAAACUUCUGAUCGGUGUAGAAUAACCACCAUCUGUGAUCUCUAGCUGUUCUUAAUAGUUUAAAAGUGCUAAACCAGCCCACAUCUUUAAUCUCAGCACUUGGGAGGCAGAAGCAGGUGGAUCUCUAAGAUUUGGAGGCCAGCCUGGUCUACAGAGUGAGUUCCAGGUCAGCAAGAGCUGUGUAGAGAGAGACUAUAUGAAAGAAAGAGAAAGAGGUGUGUGUGGGGGGGAGCUGUCAACAGAGGAAAGGGAGAGGAAAGGAAGAGGGGAAGGUAGGGGAACUAAGCCAGCCAGCCAACCAGCUAGGUGUACCCCUAAAGUAAGGAGACAGGUGAUUUUUGAGUUUCCAUAACAGCCUAGGAUACACAAUCUCAAAAUAACCUAGAGUGCUGAAUAAGUGCUGAAGUUUACAGAUGAAUUAUGCAAAGACAGAGACAGAGGACUCACUACUAUAAUAAUGGUUUUUAUGAUGCAUCACUUAUAAUACCACACUAUCCACACAGAAAUGAUGCUGUUGUCUUUGGAUAACUGUUGAAUCUAGCUGAAUACCAUAUUCAUAUUCAGGAGCUAAUAAAAGCAUUAAACAAAGAGUGAAAAGUUCUCCUGUAUCUCGAUUUUCAAGAUACAGGAUACUUGGACAGCAAGACCAAGGAGAAACUUUAAGGACUCUUGAACUCCCUAAGACUGUAUGCAUUAGUCAAUGCUGUCAACUUGAUUAACAGUCUCCUUCUGUAUCACUAAGAGAUCCAAUGCCCAAAAUGAGGUAAGAGGCUUAGAGUUUGCUAUUUAAGCAGAAAGAGCAAAAAUUUAACCCUGUAGAUAAUUUAAUUCCCCCUGCCCCCCACACACACCCCCAAAAAAGCAAAGUGAGCUGAGCUGGUCUUGGGGAAAUCCUAAGCUCAUAUUUUAUUAUCUCUCUCCCUUAAUAACUACCCAAGAAACUUUUUGUAUUUCACCAAGGCUAAAAUUUUAUUAAUCAUCCACAAAUUGAAAGGGCAAUGAAAUAAACACUACUACUCGUUUCCUUUCCUCACAACCUGCUGCCUGGGCCAGCUGCAUUCAGUCCCAAAGAUAUCUGUCUCCAGACCAGGGUGCUGGUUUCUCUCAAAAUUAAACAUUCAGAGGUGACAUGAUCCUAACAGACAUGAAGGGUACCGUCUGCUUGGCCUCCUUAAUCAUCUUUUGUGGGUUUCAUAGGACGACAAUAUACCUGUAAGAAAAACCUAAGGGCCCCUAGGUAAAAAUGUGGUUGACAGCAGCCAGGACCCUUUCUAGAGCUGUAUACCCUUUUGGGGAUUGCCAGCCCCGCCUCCAUCAUAAGCAUCAACAGCUUUUAGCUCUGCUUUUGUCUCCAGACAAGAGUCUUGCUACGCAGCUCUGGCUAGCCUGCAACCCAUGGCAAUCCUCCUGCCUCAGUCGAGUGCAUGAGCUCCCAUACCCAAUUUCAGUUUUGUUUUUUUAAUAGUUCUAACACUCCUACAUCUCCUGACGGACUGUCUCUUUAAGAGACAAAAUUUAUCAAAUCAUCCUUAUCCUCCUAAACCACAUACUCCAAAAGAAGUGGUGGUCGAGCACCAAAGAACUCAUACCCCAAAUAAAACUCAGCCACUGUGGACAUUAUUUAGGUUCUUCAAGAAGCAGUAAACAGUGUCCUGAACAGCGCGGAAGUCUCCGAGGGUUCUCGGUGGUGCCAGGCGGCGGAUCAUCGCCCUACCAAAAGCACAGGGCCCUGAUACCACCCUGCUUGGCUCGUUAGGCAUUUUAGGCCUGUUUCGUCUUAGUCUCAAGCAGCCUGAAAAAAAUUACUCGCAAGAGUGUGAAAUCUUAAGAGCGAUUUACGUUUAUCACUGAUUUGGAGGAACGUUACGGCCGGGAGAACGAGCUGGCAGUAACCAUAUCACAGCACUCCGGGUCUGAGACACCCAGGGAUUCGGUCUGAAAGGCAGGUUUCCCGCUACCCCGCCGGCCGGUCCUAGGGCUCAGGGCUCUCCGACCUCCACCCGAGCUGCCCUCCCAGCCUCCGUGCCAACAUCUGGAAGGCUCGGCGAAAGGCCAACCAGGACGCUGGAAUGAUGUCCCAGUGAUGCUCGCCCUAAGUCCGGACUCUACCUACGCGCGCCUGCAACAACCCCGCGCCCGCCGCCACCCUCGCCGUGGGUGUCGGGCGGGUCUUUUGGCCCGACUCCUGUCACUCACCGGCCCGACCCGGGCAGCGGGCGCCCAAGGCUCCCCACGGGAGCUGGGCCCCCCGGGCCUCCAGGUCUCGGCCCGCCCCCUGGCAGGCAGCGCAGGUGGCUGAGCCCCGCAGCAGCGGCCCCGCACCGGCCGCUCGGUCCAGCUCCUGGCGCUGCCCACUGGGUACGGAUCAACAACAAGAUGGCGGCCAGCCGAGGGGGCGGGGGCCGGGCGUCAUAGUAACCAAGGACAGCAAAGAACCCGCCCCUGACUGAGGUUAUUUCCAAUCAACAGCCUCGUCUCGGAACGCCUGAAGGAAUUCUUCCCGUCGAUUCGUCAACUGUUCCGUCAGUCCGGGCGUGCCUCUCGUGCAGAAUGCCUGGGGCACGUGACUGUGACGGCACGAAUUGACGCAUGCGCGCCAUUCUCUGGUUUGCUAGCCGCGGAGCUUUUGCUGUCGAAAGGGGAGGCUGGAGCGCCCUUGGUUUUCUCACCUGCGCAACUGUUUCGGUUUUGAGCUGGCCGCGUUUAUCAUACUCUCGCACACACUUAGGGAAUGUCAACGGAAUUCCAUAUCCUUCCAACAAAACCUCUACACAAAGUUGGCAAGCUGUCCAUGAGGGCUGAUGGGACCUCAAAAACCAACUUGUGGAGCUGCAGAGAAAGCCCCCCCAGAAUCUAUAGUGUAUUUAAAAAUAAAAUAAAAGCUAGGCACAAUGAUGGUCACUUGUCAUCCCAGUACUGGGAAAGGAAGUCAGGUAGAUCUCUGGGCCUCACUAGUCAGCCAACCUAGCCUAUUUGGUGAGUUACAGGUCAGUGAGAGACCCUGUCUCAAACUGAGGAGGGAGCAUGAUAUCUGUAACCAUGCAAGCUCCAAGUCAGCCGAAACUACAAAAGUAAGGCAUGUAUUUAAAAUAAAAUUUUGCCUGGAA
Rattus norvegicus (Norway rat) is the source of this 7262-nucleotide non-coding RNA. Lineage: Eukaryota; Metazoa; Chordata; Mammalia; Rodentia; Muridae. The record is from RefSeq and is a predicted model, not a curated record.